Molecule: non-coding RNA, 45 nt
Filed under: Schistosoma margrebowiei
Lineage: Eukaryota; Metazoa; Platyhelminthes; Trematoda; Strigeidida; Schistosomatidae
Source: RNAcentral
AUCCAGCUGACGAGUUCAAAUUAGGAUGAAAUGCGCAUCCUAAAU